AUGAACGCUGGCGGCGUGCCUAAUACAUGCCAGUCGAGCGAACAGACGAGGAGCUUGCUCCUCUGACGUUAGCGGCGGACGGGUGAGUAACACGUGGAUAACCUACCUAUAAGACUGGGAUAACUUCGGGAAACCGGAGCUAAUACCGGAUAAUAUAUUGAACCGCCUGGUUCAAUAGUGAAAGACGGUUUUGCUGUCACUUAUAGAUGGAUCCGCGCCGCAUUAGCUAGUUGGUAAGGUAACGGCUUACCAAGGCAACGAUGCGUAGCCGACCUGAGAGGGGGAACGGCCAAAAUGGAACUGGAAAAAGGGCCAAAAUCCGAAGGGAGGCAGCAGUAGGGAAUCUUCCGCAAUGGGCGAAAGCUUGACGGAGCAACGCCGCGUGAGUGAUGAAGGUCUUCGGAUCGUAAAACUCUGUUAUUAGGGAAGAACAAAUGUGUAAGUAACUAUGCACGUCUUGACGGUACCUAAUCAGAAAGCCACGGCUAACUACGUG
Molecule: ribosomal RNA, 496 nt
Filed under: uncultured bacterium
Lineage: Bacteria
Description: partial 16S ribosomal RNA
Rfam family: Bacterial small subunit ribosomal RNA
Source: RNAcentral